This 617-nucleotide ribosomal RNA is filed under the name uncultured bacterium. RNAcentral describes it as "bacterial SSU rRNA". It matches the Rfam family "Bacterial small subunit ribosomal RNA", at positions 8 to 607 of the family's 1533-position model. The record is from RNAcentral.
AGAGUUUGAUCCUGGCUCAGGAUGAACGCUGGCGGCGUGCCUAAUACAUGCAAGUCGAACGCACAGCGAAAGGUGCUUGCACCUUUCAAGUGAGUGGCGAACGGGUGAGUAACACGUGGACAACCUGCCUCAAGGCUGGGGAUAACAUUUGGAAACAGAUGCUAAUACCGAAUAAAACUCAGUGUCGCAUGACACAGAGUUAAAAGGCGCUUUGGCGUCACCUAGAGAUGGAUCCGCGGUGCAUUAGUUAGUUGGUGGGGUAAAGGCCUACCAAGACAAUGAUGCAUAGCCGAGUUGAGAGACUGAUCGGCCACAUUGGGACUGAGACACGGCCCAAACUCCUACGGGAGGCUGCAGUAGGGAAUCUUCCACAAUGGGCGAAAGCCUGAUGGAGCAACGCCGCGUGUGUGAUGAGGGCUUUCGGGUCGUAAAGCACUGUUGUAUGGGAAGAACAGCUAGAAUAGGGAAUGAUUUUAGUUUGACGGUACCAUACCAGAAAGGGACGGCUAAAUACGUGCCAGCAGCCGCGGUAAUACGUAUGUCCCGAGCGUUAUCCGGAUUUAUUGGGCGUAAAGCGAGCGCAGACGGUUGAUUAAGUCUGAUGUGAAAGCCCGGAG